Molecule: ribosomal RNA, 303 nt
Filed under: uncultured bacterium
Lineage: Bacteria
Description: partial 16S ribosomal RNA
Rfam family: Bacterial small subunit ribosomal RNA
Source: RNAcentral
AGCAGUGCCGCGGGAAUACGUAGGGUGCAAGCGUUAAUCGGAAUUACUGGGCGUAAAGCGUGCGCAGGCGGUGUUGUAAGACUGAUGUGAAAUCCCCGGGCUCAACCUGGGAACUGCAUUGGUGACUGCAACGCUGGAGUGCGGCAGAGGGGGAUGGAAUUCCGCGUGUAGCAGUGAAAUGCGUAGAUAUGCGGAGGAACACCGAUAGCGAAGGCAAUCCCCUGGGCCUGCACUGACGCUCAUGCACGAAAGCGUGGGGAGCAAACAGGAUUAGAUACCCGAGUAGUCCCUGUCUCUUAUACA